GAUGAACGCUGGCGGCGUGCCUAAUACAUGCAAGUCGAGCGAACAGACAAGGAGCUUGCUCCUCUGACGUUAGCGGCGGACGGGUGAGUAACACGUGGAUAACCUACCUAUAAGACUGGGAUAACUUCGGGAAACCGGAGCUAAUACCGGAUAAUAUAUUGAACCGCAUGGUUCAAUAGUGAAAGACGGUUUUGCUGUCACUUAUAGAUGGAUCCGCGCCGCAUUAGCUAGUUGGUAAGGUAACGGCUUACCAAGGCAACGAUGCGUAGCCGACCGGAGAGGGUGAUCGGCCACGCUGGAACAUUAACACGGUCCAGACUCCUCCGGGAGGCAGCAGUACGGAAUCUUCCGCAAUGGGCGAAAUAUUAACGGAGCAACGCCGCGUGAGUGAUGAAGGUCUUCGGAUCGUACAACUCUGUUAUUAGGGAAGAACAAAUGUGUAAGUAACUAUGCGCGUCUUGACGGUACCUAAUCAGAGAGCCACGGCUAACUACGCG
This 497-nucleotide ribosomal RNA is filed under the name uncultured bacterium. RNAcentral's name for it is "partial 16S ribosomal RNA". It matches the Rfam family "Bacterial small subunit ribosomal RNA", at positions 28 to 507 of the family's 1533-position model. The record is from RNAcentral.